CAAAUUCACAUUUAAUCAUCCGUGAAUACACGUGUCUUCUUACUGGCUAUAGCGAGAGUCGAUGGUCAGAAAGGUGACCGCACGGGUUUUAAGUGCGGACAAAUGGUCACAUGUCAUGAAUAUUCAUGAACGUACGACGAACUAAAUUUUAUUUAUAUUCUCCCUCACUACGUUCGUCCGAAUAUAAAGUAAUUAAUAUUCUAUGGCCUUAACAAAGAACAAACGACAUAAUGUAGGUGUGCUACUCGCUAUAACCUCGAGACAAAGGGAAAAUAGUAAAUUCAUAGCAUAAUUGAGCCGAAUAAUAUCACCAAAAAUUAAAUAUCUAUAAACCGUUAUAUACCAAGAUUUAACGAAACCGUUAGUUGCUUUUUAACAGAAUCUUUGAUAUAACCAUCUUUAGCAAAAUCGGUACGCCACCUUCCAUGCUCUUUAAUUAAACGAUCAGAAACGUCAUUUCUUGCAGCAGCAGUUGCGCCACCACUGCGCAAACUAUGAAGACAAAAAAGUUUACAAUCAAGACCAAUCGCAGUUAAUGUGCCCAAAAGUAACUCCCUAGCUCUAGUAUAAGAUAAAGGACGAUUAGCCUCUGCUAACUUAUAAGAAUUUACUGACUUAAAA
Molecule: long non-coding RNA, 621 nt
Filed under: Mytilus galloprovincialis (Mediterranean mussel)
Lineage: Eukaryota; Metazoa; Mollusca; Bivalvia; Mytilida; Mytilidae
Source: RNAcentral